RNAcentral lists this ribosomal RNA (274 nucleotides) under uncultured bacterium. RNAcentral describes it as "partial 16S ribosomal RNA". It matches the Rfam family "Bacterial small subunit ribosomal RNA", at positions 523 to 796 of the family's 1533-position model. The record is from RNAcentral.
AUACGGAGGGUGCAAGCGUUAUUCGGAAUCACUGGGCGUAAAGGUCGCGUAGGCGGGUUGGCAAGUCAGAUGUGAAAUCCUACAGCUUAACUGUAGAACUGCAUUUGAAACUGCUAACCUAGAGUAUGGGAGGGGGAGAUGGAAUUAGUGGUGUAGGGGUAAAAUCCGUAGAUAUCACUAGGAAUACCGAAAGCGAAGGCGAUCUCCUGGAACAUAACUGACGCUAAGGCGUGAAAGCGUGGGGAGCAAACAGGAUUAGAAACCCUAGUAGUCC